Molecule: ribosomal RNA, 253 nt
Filed under: uncultured bacterium
Lineage: Bacteria
Description: partial 16S ribosomal RNA
Rfam family: Bacterial small subunit ribosomal RNA
Source: RNAcentral
UACGAAGGGGGCUAGCGUUGCUCGGAAUCACUGGGCGUAAAGCGCACGUAGGCGGGUUGCUAAGUCAGGGGUGAAAUCCUGGAGCUCAACUCCAGAACUGCCUUUGAUACUGGCGGCCUUGAGUCCGGGAGAGGUGAGUGGAACUGCGAGUGUAGAGGUGAAAUUCGUAGAUAUUCGCAAGAACACCAGUGGCGAAGGCGGCUCACUGGCCCGGUACUGACGCUGAGGUGCGAAAGCGUGGGGAGCGAACGGG